GAACUUGCCUCUUGGACUGGGACAACUGUUGGAAACGACAGCUAAUACCGGAUAUUAUGAGAUUCUCGCAUGAGAAACUUAUGAAAGCUAUAUGCGCCAAGAGAGAGCCUUGCGUUCCAUUAGCUAGUUGGUGGGGUAACGGCCCACCAAGGCGACGAUGGAUAGCCGGCCUGAGAGGGUGAACGGCCACAAGGGGACUGAGACACGGCCCUUACUCCUACGGGAGGCAGCAGUGGGGAAUAUUGGGCAAUGGGCCACAAGCCUGAUCCAGCAAUUCUGUGUGCACGAUGAAGGUCUUCGGAUUGUAAAGUGCUUUCAGUUGGGAAGAAGAAAGUGACGGUACCAACAGAAGAAGCGACGGCUAAAUACGUGCCAGCAGCCGCGGUAAUACGUAUGUCGCAAGCGUUAUCCGGAUUUAUUGGGCGUAAAGCGCGUCUAGGCGGAAAAAUAAGUCUGAUGUUAAAAUGCGGGGCUCAACUCCGUAUUGCGUUGGAAACUGUUUUUCUAGAGUACUGGAGAGGUGGGCGGAACUACAAGUGUAGAGGUGAAAUUCGUAGAUAUUUGUAGGAAUGCCGAUGGAGAAGUCAGCUCACUGGACAGAUACUGACGCUGAAGCGCGAAAGCGUGGGGAGCAAACAGGAUUAGAUACCCUGGUAGUCCACGCCGUAAACGAUGAUCACU
RNAcentral lists this ribosomal RNA (681 nucleotides) under uncultured bacterium. RNAcentral's name for it is "bacterial SSU rRNA". It matches the Rfam family "Bacterial small subunit ribosomal RNA", at positions 122 to 817 of the family's 1533-position model. The record is from RNAcentral.